CCACUGGCUGCAGGGACCUGGAGGUCUGCACCAGUUCCAGUGACCACUCAGAACCCACCUGGCGCACCCCCCAAUGUGCUCUGGCAGACGCCAUUGGCUUGGCAGAACCCCUCAGGCUGGCAAAACCAGACAGCCAGGCAGACCCCACCAGCACGUCAGAGCCCUCCAGCUAGGCAGACCCCACCAGCCUGGCAGAACCCAGUCGCUUGGCAGAACCCAGUGAUUUGGCCAAACCCAGUAAUCUGGCAGAACCCAGUGAUCUGGCCAAACCCCAUUGUCUGGCCCGGCCCUGUUGUCUGGCCGAAUCCACUGGCCUGGCAGAAUCCACCUGGAUGGCAGACUCCACCUGGAUGGCAGACCCCACCGGGCUGGCAGGGUCCUCCAGACUGGCAAGGUCCUCCUGACUGGCCGCUACCACCCGACUGGCCACUGCCACCUGAUUGGCCACUUCCCACUGACUGGCCACUACCACCUGACUGGAUCCCCGCUGAUUGGCCAAUUCCACCUGACUGGCAGAACCUGCGCCCCUCGCCUAACCUGCGCCCUUCUCCCAACUCGCGUGCCUCACAGAACCCAGGUGCUGCACAGCCCCGAGAUGUGGCCCUUCUUCAGGAAAGAGCAAAUAAGUUGGUCAAGUACUUGAUGCUUAAGGACUACACAAAGGUGCCCAUCAAGCGCUCAGAAAUGCUGAGAGAUAUCAUCCGUGAAUACACUGAUGUUUAUCCAGAAAUCAUUGAACGUGCAUGCUUUGUCCUAGAGAAGAAAUUUGGGAUUCAACUGAAAGAAAUUGACAAAGAAGAACACCUGUAUAUUCUCAUCAGUACCCCCGAGUCCCUGGCUGGCAUACUGGGAACGUAAGACACCCAAGCUCGGUCUCCUCUUGGUGAUUCUGGGUGUCAUCUUCAUGAAUGGCAACCGUGCCAGUGAGGCUGUCCUCUGGGAGGCACUACGCAAGAUGGGACUGCGUCCUGGGGUGAGACAUCCCCUCCUUGGAGAUCUAAGGAAACUUCUCACCUAUGAGUUUGUAAAGCAGAAAUACCUGGACUACAGACGAGUGCCCAACAGCAACCCCCCGGAGUAUGAGUUCCUCUGGGGCCUCCGUUCCUACCAUGAGACUAGCAAGAUGAAAGUGCUGAGAUUCAUUGCAGAGAGACCCUCGUGACUGGACUGCACAGUUCAUGGAGGCUGCAGAUGAGGCCUUGGAUGCUCUGGAUGCUGCUGCAGCUGAGGCCGAAGCCCGGGCUGAAGCAAGAACCCGCAUGGGAAUUGGAGAUGAGGCUGUGUCUGGGCCCUGGAGCUGGGAUGACAUUGAGUUUGAGCUGCUGACCUGGGAUGAGGAAGGAGAUUUUGGAGAUCCCUGGUCCAGAAUUCCAUUUACCUUCUGGGCCAGAUACCACCAGAAUGCCCGCUCCAGAUUCCCUCAGACCUUUGCCGGUCCCAUUAUUGGUCCUGGUGGUACAGCCAGUGCCAACUUCGCUGCCAACUUUGGUGCCAUUGGUUUCUUCUGGGUUGAGUGAGAUGUUGGAUAUUGCUAUCAAUCGCAGUAGUCUUUCCCCUGUGUGAGGCUGAAGCCUCAGAUUCCUUCUAAACACAGCUAUCUAGAGAGCCACAUCCUGUUGACUGAAAGUGGCAUGCAAGAUAAAUUUAUUUGCUGUUCCUUGUCUACUGCUUUUUUUCCCCUUGUGUGCUGUCAAGUUUUGGUAUCAGAAAUAAACAUUGAAAUUGCAA
RNAcentral lists this long non-coding RNA (1728 nucleotides) under Homo sapiens (human). RNAcentral's name for it is "long non-coding RNA NONHSAT222710.1". Lineage: Eukaryota; Metazoa; Chordata; Mammalia; Primates; Hominidae. The record is from RNAcentral.